Long non-coding RNA from Rhipicephalus microplus (southern cattle tick), 1617 nucleotides. The record is from RefSeq and is a predicted model, not a curated record. Lineage: Eukaryota; Metazoa; Arthropoda; Arachnida; Ixodida; Ixodidae.
CGGCAUCCAUCGAACGAAGCACGAGGGUGUUUCUUCCGUGCGUGCUACAGAGAAGCCUCGCCGGUUUGGGGGUGACGGCUAUAAGGCGAGUCAAUGGCGCGUAUUCUACGGAGGCUGGAACGUAUCCCUGUGGCCUCCAACUUCUACCCAGUGACAUCGUGGGCAUUUCUAGUGAUCUGGACCUGGUGAACAGCUUCACGUGGUGAACAGCUGAACGGGACAUCCUGACUGCCGGAAGCCAGGGCAACAGUGAAGAAAACAACAAGGCGGCCAUGGCGGUCAUCACGAGCUUGCUGGAACCUGAAGCUGGACUUGGUGGACCGGCGGACUUCAGUGGCAUGCCAUGGCCCGUGCCUUGAAACACCCGUUUGCACUCCUGUUUACGCGGACGUCUCGCUAACCGUUCCUCGCGUCUAACAGAGAAGAAUACAGCAUAUAUGGACACUCGUGCGAAGAUAUUGCAUCUAGUCUGUAUUCACUCCACAGUGCGUGUACGUUACCGCACAGAGUAAGUCACGCUUCGGUGAAGAUCGAGCCCAGCACGAAACGUUUCAAAGAACUGACUUCUAUCUCUACCAGUGUGGUUCACGGUAAACUGCGAAGCAUGCUCGUCGUAGAGUGCUGGUUUUAUUAUUUAGGCUUUCUGUGUUUUAAAAGCGAGCUCUGCUUCUACACAGCGAUGUCGGUUGUGCUCCACUAUUUCCCUGUCCAUAGAUUGACGUGGGACCAUGUCAUACCACCGCUUCGCAAGCAUCGUUAAGAUAAACACUAUACAGUUGUGCUGUGCAUUUCCUGGAUGCAUAAACGCACGCAAUUAGAAUCGCAGGCCUCAGAAACAGAUUAACUAAGCAGCACUGCGACGAAGCACUCCGCUGACAGUGGUAGAAAUCACUUGCAAUGUUAUUGGAACACGUUAGAAGCUUUUUGUAGAGUACUCGUAAAACAGGCAAUACAAGUGUCAGAUUUACCUCAUUUCUGCGUUGUCUUUUUUGCAAAGCGUCAGCCGACGCCCAUACUGUAAGUCCUCGAAGGCACGUGAUCUGAUGCGGGCUUUGACUGAUCCGCAGUUAGAAGAGUUAGAGGUACGAUUCCUGGGACCCAUCAUGUCACAUUCUAUAAGUCCAGUCGUCACAGCAGUGUUGGCGAUAUGAUGUGAACCAAAAUAGCCCUCUACUUGUGGCAAAUGUAAAUAAGUUAAAACUGAGCAACAGUCCGAGUCACGUUGUGUAACUUUGAACGGUUUGCUCUAAUCACGCUGUGUUUUAAUCCCAAUGAUCUUAACGAUAUUCGUCAAUGUUUCGUUCGUGGCAUAAAUUAGAAAAGCUAAUGGAGAUAUGCAGCCAACUAGACUGAGUGAUGAUUCUGUGUUCGCCUAAAGAUUCCACUGUGACAGUUUUAUAUUAUAAUAAAUAGCGCAAUGAUAUUUCAAGGUGUAUAUGAGGAAAACCCACGGCAAGUGUGCUCGUCGAAUGAAGAACCGCAUAUGCAAAUAUUUGUGUCAAGAUCAAUCAAGGUCAUUACAUAAGAUCACGAUGUUAUUGGUUGUUCUAUGCCCUACUGUAUUAAAGUCAUUCACUUUCUCCUGUUCAAAAUACAGUUGAAGUUGAAGGAUUAUGA